Manacus vitellinus (golden-collared manakin) is the source of this 310-nucleotide long non-coding RNA. RefSeq lists it as uncharacterized. NCBI's taxonomy places the organism in Eukaryota, Metazoa, Chordata, Aves, Passeriformes, Pipridae. The record is from RefSeq and is a predicted model, not a curated record. The transcript is spliced from 3 exons.
GAGAAAAUCUGGAAAGGGGAAGGGAAGAAAAUAAGCCACCUGACUCCUCCCUGAGCCCCAGACAGCCCAUGAACUGCCUUCCUGGGAAUGGUAGGAUGGGGUGGACUCUGGAUUGCUCCCUCUGGAUGCGUGGCUCUCCCCUCAGGAACUGCAGGAACUCCUGGUGCCGCCUGGGCCGAUGGAUUGGACGCCCCAGCCCCUCCGUUCCUGCCCAGCCACUGGGGCCGUGUCCAGUGGUGGCACUGCCAGCCCUGCAGUGGGAUGUAGCCUGGAAACUGCACAGAGCUGAGCCAAGGGAUUUAAAGGGACC